ACGCUCGAUACCUACGGGGGCAGCAGUCGGGAAUAUUGCGCAAUGGAGGAAACUCUGACGCAGUGACGCCGCGUAUGGGAAGAAGGUUUUCGGAUUGUAAACCAUUUUAGACAAGGAAGAAACAAGACAGUACUUGUAGAAUAAGCUCCGGCUAACUACGUGCCAUCAGCCGCGGUAAUCUGAGCGGGCUGGCAAGGC
Molecule: ribosomal RNA, 198 nt
Filed under: uncultured bacterium
Lineage: Bacteria
Description: partial 16S ribosomal RNA
Rfam family: Bacterial small subunit ribosomal RNA
Source: RNAcentral